RNAcentral lists this ribosomal RNA (538 nucleotides) under uncultured bacterium. RNAcentral's name for it is "bacterial SSU rRNA". It matches the Rfam family "Bacterial small subunit ribosomal RNA", at positions 335 to 865 of the family's 1533-position model. The record is from RNAcentral.
ACUCCUACGGGAGGCAGCAGUGGGGAAUUUUUCGCAAUGGGCGCAAGCCUGACGAAGCAACGCCGCGUGGAGGAUGAAGGUCUUCGGAUUGUAAACUCCUGUCGACCGGGACGAAUGCACUCGACCUAAUACGUCGGAAUGUUGACGGUACCGGUGGAGGAAGCCACGGCUAACUCUGUGCCAGCAGCCGCGGUAAUACAGAGGUGGCAAGCGUUGUUCGGAAUUACUGGGCGUAAAGGGCGCGUAGGCGGCCUUGUAAGUCUUGUGUGAAAGCCCUCGGCUUAACUGAGGAUCUGCACGGGAUACUGCGAGGCUUGAGUUCGGGAGAGGAAAGCGGAAUUCCGGGUGUAGCGGUGAAAUGCGUAGAUAUCCGGAGGAACACCAGUGGCGAAGGCGGCUUUCUGGACCGACACUGACGCUGAGGCGCGAAAGCUAGGGGAGCAAACGGGAUUAGAUACCCCGGUAGUCCUAGCUGUAAACGAUGAUCGCUGGGUGUGGGGGGUUUUUACUCCCUCCGUGCCGAAGCUAACGCAUAAGC